RNAcentral lists this long non-coding RNA (856 nucleotides) under Coturnix japonica (Japanese quail). RNAcentral's name for it is "lncRNA (ENSCJPG00005003782.1)". Lineage: Eukaryota; Metazoa; Chordata; Aves; Galliformes; Phasianidae. The record is from RNAcentral.
GCUCCGCCCUUUACAGCCGGCGCAGCACGGCGCCGCGGGCGGCAUGAGCACCGCCUUCGUUCCGCCUCUCUGCCGGCCGCCCCGCGCAUCAUACCAUGGUCGGGUUGAAGAGCGUAGUGCUGUAGCUUCCCGGGGGUCUGGAGUACCGUGAGGGGACCAGUGAAAUUACCACAGUGUUAACUUGUAGCUUCCCACAGGGGCUUGUCAGGCAUCUUUAAUCUAAAGAAAGAAUUACAGCAAAGAACUGUGUAUUUACUAGACAGCUAACACAAGUACAACAUUUUAUAACUGGCUACUUCACCCUUGGCCUGGACUUCCUGCGCAGAACUUAUUGUGGUUGGUUUUACAGACAACUUUGUCCCUCCCUUUCCACUGGAGUUUUUGGAGUUCUCCCAGCCACAUGCAUCUUUGUUCCUCGGUGUGUAUGGCCUGUAAUCACAACUUAACAGAUAAACCAAGGAAAGAACAAAGGAAAUAGUUUUUACCUGCUGCAUUCCUCUUGGUGCCACCUGUUAUUUUGUCCAGCCAAAGAAAGAAAGAAAGUCCUAUUUAGGUUAUUGUUCUGAAGAAUUGGUUGCUAGGAACAGUGGUCUGCCUCCUUGCCAGGAACCAAGAAUUUGUUUUCUUCCCAGAAGAAAAGCUGUUAUUUACUUGCUCAUAAUACGUGCUUUGUCUGCAUCACUGCUGUUUGGAUCCAUUUAUAUGUUAGGUGUUUUUCAAGUAAAAAUUCUUUCCAACUGAUAAUCUGUUGAGGCAAGUGGAUGGACAUCACCUGCUUAGAAAUAUCAUAGGAAGGCAAUACGUUUUAAACUUAAAAUUGAAUAAAGGCUGGCUCCUUGCCUUAUGACUUUGUGUC